Long non-coding RNA from Mesocricetus auratus (golden hamster), 856 nucleotides. RefSeq lists it as uncharacterized. Lineage: Eukaryota; Metazoa; Chordata; Mammalia; Rodentia; Cricetidae. The transcript is spliced from 3 exons. The record is from RefSeq and is a predicted model, not a curated record.
AUUCCAGGCUCCAACACCAACACCACCUGGCGUUCACUGGGCACACACCAUCUUAGCAGAUCAGGGAAACAGAUUUCCUUCUAACAGGAACACCUUUCUCAUAUGUUAUCAUGAAGAGGAGCAGGACACACAGGAAAGCUGGCCUUGCCUCUUGCUGCUCACUCUAGCAAGAUAACUGGCCCAUGCACACAGGAGAGAGGGUUCUCACCCCUAACCACAGGAAAAGAUGAACCUAUCCUGAGGGCUGACUCUGCCACCUCACUCACGGUGUGUGGCCCCACUGGCUUGAUCUGAACUGAUUAGCUAACACCCAGGUCCACAACUGGUCAUUGGGGUGACCCACCCUAGAAUCUACCCACCUAUGUCCUGCUUGAGCUUGUGAAGGAACUUGUCCUGGAAAACGACACCCACAAGAUCUCCAAUACAUUGGAUACUCCAGACAAGCUCUGGUGAAGACCCAUUAAGGAUGGUGUACCAAAAACCAGAGGCCUUGAACCAGACCAAUGACUCAUUGUAAUGGACAGUUGUCAGUCAAGCUGAUGGGACAAAGGGAUAUGCUGUAGGGCACACUGAAGCCUUCAGUGCCAUCAUAACGGAUAAAGAGGUGGCAGAGGUUUUGCUGUUUCCAGUAUGGUUUUAAGUUCUGUUUUGUUUUGGUAUUUACUUUUCUUUGUUGUUCUGGCUUUUGUUUGCUUGCUUACUUACUUAGCUUUGUUUUCUUUCAUGGGGGCCAUGCAAGAAGAAUCAGAUUGGAAUAUGGAGUGACUGGGAGGUGAACAGAAUUGGGGUACAUGAUGUGAAACCCCCAAAUAUUCAAUAAAGAAGUUUAAAAAAUGAUUUAAGUAGGCCAUAAAGU